Molecule: long non-coding RNA, 1373 nt
Filed under: Struthio camelus australis
Lineage: Eukaryota; Metazoa; Chordata; Aves; Struthioniformes; Struthionidae
Description: lncRNA (ENSSCUG00000012083.1)
Source: RNAcentral
GUUUCUAUUGCCAGGAGGGCUCUGAGGUGCCCGUACCAUGUCCUGCCAAUACCAUUAGAAACAUCCCAGGGGCAAAGCAGAGAGAAGACUGCCUGCCCUGUCCGCCAGGCCACUGGUGCAAAGCAGGUUGGGACUGUGUGGGGAAUGGUGAGGACAGGGUAUGGGAGCUGUUUUUCAGGGGUGUAGUGCACGACCCUGGCUCUGGUCAGACUGGCUCCGGUAUCGAAUGUUGCAGUGUGGAACGGUUCUUGCAGUAGGACGCGUUGCCUCUACUGGUGAUUACCAGAGUCUGCGGAGAAAAGAGUCGCGUUAAAGCUCUUCGUACGAUACGCUUGCAUAACAAAGUUUGGAAACGUAGGAGAGCUUGAGAAUAAAGCCAGCCUCCAAAUAUCCCUGUGUCGCGUCUGUCAGAAGUGAGGCUUGGACUGUGAAGGUGGCUUGCACCCCUAUUUAUGGUAGCUUCGGAAGGACCCAGGGAGGAGGCAGAAGAAAGGGGUGCCAGUCACAGUGCAGAGACCCCUCAUGACAGCCCUGUUUUCUGUUUCUUAGGGGAUUCAGAGGCCUAUCCAUGUCCCUCAGGACACUAUUGCUUUGGAGGCAAUGAUACUGAUCACGGCAGUCUCCUGGCACCUCAGAAAUGCCCUCCACACACUUACCACAAGUACCCAGGAGCUCGGAGCCUGGCAGAUUGCCAGCCGUGCCCUCCAGGCUAUCUUUGCCCUUUAUCAGGUCUGACCAGUUUUGAAGACCAUCCCUGCCCCCUGGGACACUGGUGCCCGGGUAGAGGGGAUGUUUUCCUUUGUCCACCUGGCACUUCCAGGAUCCAGCCUGGGGCAACAUCGUUGGAAGAGUGUGAUUCCUGCUCCCCCGGAUAUUACUGCCCAGAUCCAGCACAGACAGGGCUGCCGAACACCCAAGGAGUGCCUUGUAAACCUGGCUAUGAAUGCCCACCAGGUUCAGUAAAUCCGAUCCCGUGCAGGCCCGGCUCAUACUGUGGUGCUCGCACAGCCGUGCCUUCCCUGUGCCCAGGUGGCUAUUACUGUCCUGAAGGAUCGUCGACAUACCGUAGCCCUGAGCAGCUGUGUGUGUUUCCCUACUACUGUCCCCCAGGCAGUGCCCGUCCUUUGCUCUGUGAAGGAGGAUACAUGGCACUCAGUUUGCCCGGUCCAAGGGAUUCCUUUGAGAAGUUCUGCAGGAUCUGUGACGCAGGCACCUAUCGCAGUGACUCUCUCAUCACAGCAGCAUGUCAGCCCUGCCCAGCAGGCUUCAUCUGCCCACAGGGUAAAUGGGGCUGUAGUGGAGGAGCAGGCAAGAAACAGCAGCUUAAAUUGCAACCAAAAAGUUUUAGGUUAGCCGCGGGCAAAGCUCUCUAG